GCCUAUGGCCACACUGCCCUGAACGCGCCCAAUCCCGUCUGACCUCAGAAGCUAAGCAGGGUCGGGCCCGGUCAGUACCUGGAAGGGAGAAGUGUGGUAGUGUGGAAA
Molecule: ribosomal RNA, 108 nt
Filed under: Propithecus coquereli (Coquerel's sifaka)
Lineage: Eukaryota; Metazoa; Chordata; Mammalia; Primates; Indriidae
Source: RNAcentral